RNAcentral lists this ribosomal RNA (489 nucleotides) under Salmonella enterica. Its description in RNAcentral is "bacterial SSU rRNA". It matches the Rfam family "Bacterial small subunit ribosomal RNA", at positions 514 to 1002 of the family's 1533-position model. The record is from RNAcentral. Lineage: Bacteria; Pseudomonadati; Pseudomonadota; Gammaproteobacteria; Enterobacterales; Enterobacteriaceae.
GCCGCGGUAAUACGGAGGGUGCAAGCGUUAAUCGGAAUUACUGGGCGUAAAGCGCACGCAGGCGGUCUGUCAAGUCGGAUGUGAAAUCCCCGGGCUCAACCUGGGAACUGCAUUCGAAACUGGCAGGCUUGAGUCUUGUAGAGGGGGGUAGAAUUCCAGGUGUAGCGGUGAAAUGCGUAGAGAUCUGGAGGAAUACCGGUGGCGAAGGCGGCCCCCUGGACAAAGACUGACGCUCAGGUGCGAAAGCGUGGGGAGCAAACAGGAUUAGAUACCCUGGUAGUCCACGCCGUAAACGAUGUCUACUUGGAGGUUGUGCCCUUGAGGCGUGGCUUCCGGAGCUAACGCGUUAAGUAGACCGCCUGGGGAGUACGGCCGCAAGGUUAAAACUCAAAUGAAUUGACGGGGGCCCGCACAAGCGGUGGAGCAUGUGGUUUAAUUCGAUGCAACGCGAAGAACCUUACCUGGUCUUGACAUCCACAGAACUUUCCA